Drosophila yakuba is the source of this 2935-nucleotide long non-coding RNA. RefSeq lists it as uncharacterized. The record is from RefSeq and is a predicted model, not a curated record. The transcript is spliced from 2 exons. NCBI's taxonomy places the organism in Eukaryota, Metazoa, Arthropoda, Insecta, Diptera, Drosophilidae.
AGAGGCAAUAAAUUUUUGUAUUUGAGCUGCAGCUCCAGACUGUAUUUCAGACUGUGCCAAAUUUAAAGAUUGUUUCGGUCUGUUUCGCGGGAUUUGCAUUAGGGCCAAUAGUCGUUAAAGUCCCAAAGUUAUGCAGCCCAUGAAAAUCGCAUUAAAAUUAAUUUGGCACUUCGCUGAAGGCCCCUAAAUAUCCUUAUCUAAUCCGAUGGAUAAUAGCAUCACACGUCAAGGUGGCAACUCUGGCCACGCGGCCAAAGGAGCCUUCACUUCCCAUUUUGCGCCCGAGUUUUCUAUCUUUUUGGGCCGGGAAUUUAUGUCAAAAGUUUCGUUUCUUGUUAUUUUUCCUGGGCGUCCUGGGCGCUGUGCCCAUUUCAUUCAUUUAUUCUGGCCGUCUCUGUCUGCCAUUAAAGUUACUUUUGUGGAGCUUUUGGCCUGGUUGUCAACGCAUUUCUUUGCUCAUUUCACUUGACUGCUUAGCGGGACGAGUGACGAGGGAAAGCGCAGGGAAAACCGGGGAAAAUCAGGGGUAAGAAAGAGAGAGCGAGAGAGCUCGCGCUGUCCAUUUUCACAGGAUGCGUUUCUAAUUAAAAACUUUAGACAGAGAAAGAGACGAAGAAGUUCAGCUCGCUGCACUUAGGCAAAUUGCCAGAUGUUGUCCUGUUCCACUGAAUUAUGCUUCUGAAUAUGUUGGGUCAACUAUUAAAAAGAUGUGAAAUGUGCAUUUCCCUAAGAACAUAUAACAAUUUGUGAGGCUUUCGUUUAAAAUCCUUUUACUUUGCUAUUGGUUUGCUAACUUAGCUUGGAUAUUUUUAAAAUUUCAGCUUAGAUGUGUUCCGAAAUCGUCAUUUAAAUGAAAUAAGUGAACAAUGAGCAAAUCUCAACGCCUCCUUACAGGUUCGAUUACUUCCUUUUUAUUGUCCGACAUUAAGAAUUCACGAAAUGUUAAGUGCAAUUAAUGAGGCGAAUGCAAAAAUGGUAAAAAGGCAAUGGCCAACCAACCAGCCACUUGCAACUAAUUAAAUUAUCGUUAAAAGAAGGCGCACGAAGGAAAAGCUGAAAGAAAAAUUUCUUGUAAUUGCUUGAAAUUAAAAAUAAUAUGCAAAGGAGCUACGAUUGCAAAGGCAGCUCACUAAAAGUCUAAAAAAAAUGCAUUUCCGCUCAGGAGAGAGUUAGGUCAAAAGCUAACAAAUUUAUCGCAACUAAAAGCUAAUGGAACCAAACGAAAAAGCUAAGUUAUUAUUUCUGCAUUUAAACACAAAGUUGCUCAUUAAAUAGCGUAUUUUAGAUACGUAUUUUAGUGGAGCAUAUUCACUUUAAAGUAUAUAAAUAACAAAUAAAGAACCGUUUAAGUUUAAUUCCCCUUUUUUUCUUAUCCGUAUAUCGUUUAAUUGAAAGUCUAGAUCACACAUCAUUUAGUUAAUUCGUAUUUUCCAAGAUUUUCAGCAGAGUGGAAAUAUUCAUUUCAGUUCAAACGCAGCAAUCGAAUUUCGCCCGAAUGGCAAGAGCUGGAAAAUUUUCUGAAACAUUUGGUCAACGGCCUCUGCAAUGGGCAUUGUUGUCUCUUUGGGCCAAGAAUUCUCAGGCCAACACCUUUUGCUACAGUGCAGCUUCUGUUGCAGCAGCUACAAUACGCAAUUAUGACGUGGGAAUUAUAUUAAAAUGGAAACAAUGACGAAGGCAAAGGGGCCAAAGCGGCAGAUGAGGUGGGAAAACCCAAGCUGUGAGCCCUUUUGCGGCUGCCUUUGGGGAAACUCGAGAACUAAGGGAACGUAGAAUAUAGGAACGAACAGCGUACACUGAUAAAAAUAAGAGUGAAACUAUGAAAGAUGAAUAUAUGUUGCAGCGUUUUUAAUAACGUAUUGAACACAUACAAAUUGCCACAUAUCGGAUACACCGUGUGAGGUCCGAGUUAAUUUUAUUUUCAGUGUAGAGCCCGAGUAUGAGACCAAUUCUACGGCACUGAAUUUUGCCCUUGUUAAUUGCAUGUUCUGCAUAUCACUUAUAAAUGCACCCACACAAUCUCAGCCCGUCAACUUCGCACUUACACAGACACCUUGCCACACAUGUCAGGACACAUGCACAAGAAAGAGACGGCGUCGUGGAAAACGAGAGGGAUGGGUAUAUGUGUGGAGCUACGAAGACUUUGGGAAAAGUUUGCCAUAAUUGGAUUUUCAGAGUUAAUUACCAGCAUUGAAUUUGGCCAUAAAAUGUAAGAAAUACCUACGCUCUCUCUCUCUCUGUCUCUGUCUUUUACUCUUCUAUCUCAUUCACACACUGAUUACAAAGUAAGUUGGCAUAGAUUUUAGAGUUUAAUUGGAAGUAAAUGUUUUGUAUUCUAGUUACAGUACGUUAUAGUCGGAAAUUAGAUACGCAGUGGCUUAUUAUUUUACUUGUUGUUUCACAACAAAAGUUAGUCGAACUAUCAAUGCUUAAUUACCUUAAAGUGUUGGGAAUGCCCUCAUUGCAGCUACAGGGAUAAAUAUACAGGGAGAGUGAGAGGUCUGCAAAGUUAUGCAUAAUGUGGACACAGCAAGGCGAGGAGAUGCCAAAGGACGAAGGACCAAAACCAGAAGCAGGACCAACAGAAGCUUAGGAAUUAUGUCUUAUUAUUUUGCCUGCAGCCUGUGGACGAGGCGAAGAACAAUGGCAAAUCACACAGCCAGGACCAAAAGCAGGACUCUAAAGCCGGCAAUCGGGUUGUUGUCCUGGCACUGCACCAAAGUCGCAAUCUCAACGCCUCCAUUCUGUCUCUCUGCCUGACUUGUCUUUAAUGUCUUUAUGCUUCGGCCAAAUGUUGGCUGCUCUAUAGAAUCGUCACACAGAGAAAAACAUUGGGGCAGUACGUACAAGUUAAAAAGAUAAUCGUCUUAUUUCUAAACUUAUUUCGCAUUAAGAUACUUUUAAAUGAAUUAUAUGAAAUGAUAUAGAAUUCAAA